Molecule: ribosomal RNA, 537 nt
Filed under: uncultured Acidobacteriota bacterium
Lineage: Bacteria; Pseudomonadati; Acidobacteriota
Description: bacterial SSU rRNA
Rfam family: Bacterial small subunit ribosomal RNA
Source: RNAcentral
AGAGUUUGAUCCUGGCUCAGAAUCAACGCUGGCGGCGUGCCUAACACAUGCAAGUCGAACGCGAAAGUCCCGCAAGGGAUUAGUAGAGUGGCAAACGGGUGAGUAACACGUGGGUGACCUGCCUUCGAGCGGGGGAUAACGUCCCGAAAGGGACGCUAAUACCGCAUAACAUCCUGCCUUUUAAGAGGUGGCGAUCAAAGCCGGGGAUUCGCAAGAACCUGGCACUUGAAGAGGGGCCCGCGCCUGAUUAGCUAGUUGGUGGGGUAAUGGCCUACCAAGGCAACGAUCAGUAUCCGGCCUGAGAGGGCGGACGGACACACUGGGACUGAGACACGGCCCAGACUCCUACGGGAGGCAGCAGUGGGGAAUUGUUCGCAAUGGGCGCAAGCCUGACGACGCAACGCCGCGUGGAGGAUGAAGACCUUCGGGUCGUAAACUCCUUUCGAUCGAGACGAAUGUUUUUCGGGUGAACAAUCCGGAAAAGUGACGGUACCGAGAGAAGAAGCCCCGGCUAACUCUGUGCCAGCAGCCGCGGUA